Fukomys damarensis (Damara mole-rat) is the source of this 405-nucleotide long non-coding RNA. RefSeq lists it as uncharacterized. NCBI's taxonomy places the organism in Eukaryota, Metazoa, Chordata, Mammalia, Rodentia, Bathyergidae. The transcript has 3 exons. The record is from RefSeq and is a predicted model, not a curated record.
UGUGCCAUCUGCCCAGCCCCGUGAGGAAAGUCGUCCGAUGCUCACGACUCUUCCAGGAUGAGACUGGACUGAUUCAGGGGAUCGAGCUCAGGACCUUGUACUUGUGAGACGGGCACUGGAACCACUGAGCUAUGUCCCUGGCCCACGGUGGCUUUCCUCACCCGCUUCUCUAAGAUCUUCUAUCAGUUGGGGACAAUGCAUGAUAAAGGCCACUCUUUCCAGGAAUCAUGGGGACGCUGCCUUUGAAAGAAUUCCCUAACUGAGGCAAGAAGUAUGGAAUUUUGACAUCCCAGUUCUACUAUAUCUGUACACGACAAGAGCAAUCAAGAGUCCCGAACCGGAGACCUGGAGACCACAUACCUUGGUUUUAGUUUGGGUUUGGAAGAUGAAAACUGAGAGCCCCUC